Molecule: ribosomal RNA, 253 nt
Filed under: uncultured bacterium
Lineage: Bacteria
Description: partial 16S ribosomal RNA
Rfam family: Bacterial small subunit ribosomal RNA
Source: RNAcentral
UACGGAGGGUGCAAGCGUUGUCCGGAUUUAUUGGGUUUAAAGGGUGCGUAGGCGGGGUAUCAAGUCUGGUUUGAAAGUUAGCUGCUCAACAGUUAGACGUGGCUGGAAACUGGGAUUCUGGAAUGGGGUGGCGGCUGCCGGAACGGGUCAUGUAGCGGUGAAAUGCAUAGAUAUGACCCAGAACACCGAUUGCGAAGGCAGGCAGCUGGGACCUGAUUGACACUGAGGCACGAGAGCAUGGGGAGCGAACAGG